RNAcentral lists this microRNA precursor (89 nucleotides) under Otolemur garnettii (small-eared galago). Its description in RNAcentral is "miRNA (ENSOGAG00000021374.1)". Lineage: Eukaryota; Metazoa; Chordata; Mammalia; Primates; Galagidae. The record is from RNAcentral.
AUCUUAUUUCAAACAUUCCAGCAACUAUUUUUGUGUAUGUACUUAGCUGUACUAUUAUAAGUAGUUGGUUUGUAAGAGAUGGUUAAAAA